CUUGGCAAAAUAUAGAACUC
Molecule: microRNA, 20 nt
Filed under: Ciona intestinalis (vase tunicate)
Lineage: Eukaryota; Metazoa; Chordata; Ascidiacea; Phlebobranchia; Cionidae
Description: cin-miR-182-5p
Gene: cin-miR-182-5p
Source: miRBase by way of RNAcentral